This 84-nucleotide microRNA precursor is filed under the name Cricetulus griseus (Chinese hamster). RNAcentral's name for it is "microRNA cgr-mir-574 precursor". Its record names the gene cgr-mir-574. It matches the Rfam family "mir-574 microRNA precursor family". Lineage: Eukaryota; Metazoa; Chordata; Mammalia; Rodentia; Cricetidae. The record is from miRBase by way of RNAcentral.
UGUGCGGGCGUGUGAGUGUGUGUGUGUGAGUGUGUGUCGCUCCGUGUCCACGCUCAUGCACACACCCACACGCCCGCACGCCGG